RNAcentral lists this ribosomal RNA (273 nucleotides) under uncultured Delftia sp. Its description in RNAcentral is "partial 16S ribosomal RNA". It matches the Rfam family "Bacterial small subunit ribosomal RNA", at positions 524 to 796 of the family's 1533-position model. The record is from RNAcentral. Lineage: Bacteria; Pseudomonadati; Pseudomonadota; Betaproteobacteria; Burkholderiales; Comamonadaceae.
UACGUAGGGUGCGAGCGUUAAUCGGAAUUACUGGGCGUAAAGCGUGCGUAGGCGGCUAUUUAAGACAGAGGUGAAAUCCCCGGGCUCAACCUGGGAACUGCAUUUGUAACUGCAUGGCUAGAGUACGGUAGAGGGGGAUGGAAUUCCGCGUGUAGCGGUGAAAUGCGUAGAUAUGCGGAGGAACACCAAUGGCGAAGGCAAUCCCCUGGACCUGUACUGACGCUCAUGCACGAAAGCGUGGGGAGCAAACAGGAUUAGAAACCCGCGUAGUCC